RNAcentral lists this ribosomal RNA (475 nucleotides) under uncultured bacterium. RNAcentral's name for it is "bacterial SSU rRNA". It matches the Rfam family "Bacterial small subunit ribosomal RNA", at positions 32 to 507 of the family's 1533-position model. The record is from RNAcentral.
GACGCUGGCGGCGUGCCUAACACAUGCAAGUCAACUUGACUGAAGGAGCAAUCUGACAGUAGAGUGGCGCAAGGGUGCGUAACGCGUAAGUAACUUGCCCAAGGUAAGGAAUAACGUCGAGAAAUCGGCGCUAAUACCUCAUAAUGCAGCGGAUCCGCAUGGAUAUGUUGUUAAAGGUUUACCGCCUUGGGAUAGGCUUGCGUCUGAUUAGUUAGUUGGUGUGGUAACGGCACACCAAGGCUACGAUCAGUAACUGGUCUGAGAGGAUGAUCAGUCACACUGGAACUGAGACACGGUCCAGACUCCUACGGGAGGCAGCAGUGAGGAAUAUUGGGCAAUGCUCGAAAGAGUGACCCAGCAACGCCGCGUGGAGGAUGAAGGUAUUCUAUAUCGUAAACUCCUGUGAGAGCAGACGAAAGACAGAUUAUUAAUCUGGAUGACUGUAUGCUCAGAGGAAGCCCCGGCUAACUACGUG